UGGGGAAUCUUGGACAAUGGGCGCAAGCCUGAUCCAGCCAUGCCGCGUGGAUGAUGAAGGCCUUAGGGUUGUAAAAUCCUUUCGUUGGGGACGAUAAUGACGGUACCCAAAGAAGAAGCUCCGGCUAACUUCGUGCCAGCAGCCGCGGUAAUACGAAGGGGGCUAGCGUUAAUCGGAAUUACUGGGCGUAAAGCGUGCGUAGAUGGCCGAUUAAGUCGGAUGUGAAAGCCCCGGGCUCAACCUGGGAACGGCAUCCGAUACUGGUGGGCUAGAGUGCGGUAGAGGAGAGCGGAAUUCCCGGUGUAGCGGUGAAAUGCGUAGAGAUCGGGAGGAACAUCCGUGGCGAAGGCGGCUCUCUGGACCAGCACUGACGUUGAGGCACGAAAGCGUGGGGAGCAAACAGGAUUAGAUACCCAGGUAGUCCCUGAGCGGGCUGGCAAGGCGCAU
This 447-nucleotide ribosomal RNA is filed under the name uncultured bacterium. RNAcentral describes it as "bacterial SSU rRNA". It matches the Rfam family "Bacterial small subunit ribosomal RNA", at positions 355 to 825 of the family's 1533-position model. The record is from RNAcentral.